GAUGAACGCUGGCGGCGUGCCUAAUACUUGCCAGUCGAGCGAACGGACGAGAAGCUUGCUUCUCUGAUGUUAGCGGCGGACGGGUGAGUAACACGUGGAUAACCUACCUAUAAGACUGGGAUAACUUCGGGAAACCGGAGCUAAUACCGGAUAAUAUUUUGAACCGCAUGGUUCAAAAGUGAAAGACGGUCUUGCUGUCACUUAUAGAUGGAUCCGCGCUGCAUUAGCUAGUUGGUAAGGUAACGGCUUACCAAGGCAACGAUGCAUAGCCGACCUGAGAGGGUGAUCGGCCACACUGGAACGGAGACACGGUCCAGACUCCUACGGGAGGCAGCAGUAGGGAAUCGUCCGCAAUGGGCGAAAGCCUGACGGAGCAACGCCGCGUGAGUGAUGAAGGUCUUCGGAUCGUAAAACUCUGUUAUUAGGGAAGAACAUAUGUGUAAGUAACUGUGCACAUCUUGACGGUACCUAAUCAGAAAGCCACGGCUAACUACGUG
RNAcentral lists this ribosomal RNA (497 nucleotides) under uncultured bacterium. Its description in RNAcentral is "partial 16S ribosomal RNA". It matches the Rfam family "Bacterial small subunit ribosomal RNA", at positions 28 to 507 of the family's 1533-position model. The record is from RNAcentral.